RNAcentral lists this ribosomal RNA (454 nucleotides) under uncultured bacterium. Its description in RNAcentral is "bacterial SSU rRNA". It matches the Rfam family "Bacterial small subunit ribosomal RNA", at positions 29 to 524 of the family's 1533-position model. The record is from RNAcentral.
AACGAACGCUGGCGGCAGGCUUAACACAUGCAAGUCGAACGCUCGUAGCAAUACGGGAGUGGCGGACGGGUGAGUAACGCGUGGGAACGUGCCCUGAGGUACGGAAUAACUGAGGGAAACUUCAGCUAAUACCGUAUGAGCCCCGAGAGGGGGAAAGAUUUAUCGCCUUGGGAGCGGCCCGCGUCGGAUUAGCUAGUUGGUGGGGUAACGGCCUACCAAGGCUUCGAUCCGUAGCUGGUCUGAGAGGACGAUCAGCCACACUGGGACUGAGACACGGCCCAGACUCCUACGGGAGGCAGCAGUGGGGAAUCUUGCGCAAUGGGGGCAACCCUGACGCAGCCAUGCCGCGUGAACGAUGAAGGCCUUAGGGUUGUAAAGCUCUUUUACCCGUGACGAUGAUGACGGUAACGGGGGAAUAAGCUCCGGCUAACUUCGUGCCAGCAGCCGCGGUAAU